RNAcentral lists this ribosomal RNA (253 nucleotides) under uncultured bacterium. RNAcentral's name for it is "partial 16S ribosomal RNA". It matches the Rfam family "Bacterial small subunit ribosomal RNA", at positions 524 to 776 of the family's 1533-position model. The record is from RNAcentral.
UACGUAGGGGGCAAGCGUUGUCCGGAAUCAUUGGGCGUAAAGGGCGCGUAGGCGGCUUGGCAAGUCCGACAUGAAAUGUACCGGUUCAACCGGGGCACUGUGUCGGAAACUGCCUGGCUUGAGGUCGAGGGAGGAGAGUGGAAUUCCUGGUGUAGCGGUGAAAUGCGUAGAUAUCAGGAGGAACACCCGUGGCGAAGGCGGCUCUCUAUCUCGAUUCUGACGCUGAGGCGCGAAAGCUAGGGGAGCAAACGGG